CUGUAGACGAUGAGUACUAGGUGUCGGGGGUUACCCCUUCCGGUGCCGCAGCUAAUGCAUUAAGUACUCCGCCUGGGAAGUACGCUCGCAAGAGUGAAACUCAAAGGAAUUGACGUGGACCCGCGCAAGUAGCGGAGCAUGUGGUUUAAUUCGAAGCAACGCGAAGAACCUUACCUAAGCUUGACAUCCCAAUGAAAUCUCCUUAAUCGGAGAGUUCCCUUCGGGGACAUUGGUGACAGGUGGUGCAUGGUUGUCGUCAGCUCGUGUCGUGAGAUGUUGGGUUAAGUCCCGCAACGAGCGCAACCCUUGUCUUUAGUUGCCA
Molecule: ribosomal RNA, 322 nt
Filed under: Clostridioides difficile
Lineage: Bacteria; Bacillati; Bacillota; Clostridia; Peptostreptococcales; Peptostreptococcaceae
Description: bacterial SSU rRNA
Rfam family: Bacterial small subunit ribosomal RNA
Source: RNAcentral